This 435-nucleotide ribosomal RNA is filed under the name uncultured bacterium. RNAcentral describes it as "partial 16S ribosomal RNA". It matches the Rfam family "Bacterial small subunit ribosomal RNA", at positions 29 to 507 of the family's 1533-position model. The record is from RNAcentral.
AGCGAACGCUGGCGGCAGGCUUAACACAUGCAAGUCGAGCGGGCACUUUCGGGUGUCAGCGGCGGACGGGUGAGUAACGCGUGGGAACGUGCCCUCUGGAUCGGAAUAACUCAGGGAAACUUGAGCUAAUACCGGAUACGCCCUUUUGGGGAAAGGCUUGCUGCCGGAGGAUCGGCCCGCGUCUGAUUAGCUAGUUGGUGAGGUAACGGCUCACCAAGGCGACGAUCAGUAGCUGGUCUGAGAGGAUGAUCAGCCACACUGGGACUGAGACACGGCCCAGACUCCUACGGGAGGCAGCAGUGGGGAAUAUUGGACAAUGGGCGCAAGCCUGAUCCAGCCAUGCCGCGUGAGUGAUGAAGGCCUUAGGGUUGUAAAGCUCUUUUAUCCGGGACGAUAAUGACGGUACCGGAGGAAUAAGCCCCGGCUAACUUCGUG